RNAcentral lists this non-coding RNA (575 nucleotides) under Hepatovirus A. RNAcentral describes it as "Hepatitis A virus Hepatitis A virus internal ribosome entry site (IRES)". It matches the Rfam family "Hepatitis A virus internal ribosome entry site (IRES)". From Rfam's summary of the family: IRES elements allow cap and end-independent translation of mRNA in the host cell. The IRES achieves this by mediating the internal initiation of translation by recruiting a ribosomal 43S pre-initiation complex directly to the initiation codon and eliminates the requirement for eIF4F. Lineage: Riboviria; Orthornavirae; Pisuviricota; Pisoniviricetes; Picornavirales; Picornaviridae. The record is from Rfam by way of RNAcentral.
CAGGGUUCUUUAAUCAUGUUUCCCUAUAAGAACACUCAAUUUUCACGCUUUCUGUCUUCUUUCUUCCAGGGCUCUCCCCUUGCCCUAGGCUCUGGCCGUUGCGCCCGGCGGGGUCAACUCCAUGAUUAGCAUGGAGCUGUAGGAGUCUAAAUUGGGGACGCAGAUGUUUGGGACGUCACCUUGCAGUGUUAACUUGGCUCUCAUGAACCUCUUUGAUCUUCCACAAGGGGUAGGCUACGGGUGAAACCUCUUAGGCUAAUACUUCUAUGAAGAGAUGCUUUGGAUAGGGUAACAGCGGCGGAUAUUGGUGAGUUGUUAAGACAAAAACCAUUCAACGCCGGAGGACUGGCUCUCAUCCAGUGGAUGCAUUGAGUGGAUUGAUUGUCAGGGCUGUCUCUAGGUUUAAUCUCAAGACCUCUCUGUGCUUAGGGCAAACACCAUUUGGCCUUAAAUGGGAUCCUGUGAGAGGGGGUCCCCUCCAUUGACAGCUGGACUGUUCUUUGGGGCCUUAUGUGGUGUUUGCCUCUGAGGUACUCAGGGGCAUUUAGGUUUUUCCUCAUUCUUAAACAAUAAUG